GUGUAGAAAGGGUAAGAAAUUGAUAGAUGGGCCUACAGAAUCUCCUCAGGAUAGUCAGCUGGGUGAUUCAGUUGAUGAUUCCAUUUCAGAUCCGAACGUGAAAGUUUCUUCAUUAUCUGAAUCUGAUGUCGUUCGGCUUCAGGGGCAGUACCGCAUCCCGAAGCAGUUUCAACUUUCAGCAUCUAAUCCAAGUGAUCAGGUGUAUUCUUCUCCUCUCG
Molecule: long non-coding RNA, 218 nt
Filed under: Elaeis guineensis (African oil palm)
Lineage: Eukaryota; Viridiplantae; Streptophyta; Magnoliopsida; Arecales; Arecaceae
Description: long non-coding RNA (EGUI_LNC004324)
Source: RNAcentral